RNAcentral lists this ribosomal RNA (413 nucleotides) under uncultured bacterium. RNAcentral describes it as "bacterial SSU rRNA". It matches the Rfam family "Bacterial small subunit ribosomal RNA", at positions 508 to 930 of the family's 1533-position model. The record is from RNAcentral.
CCAGCAGCCGCGGUAAUACGUAGGGGGCGAGCGUUAUCCGGAUUUAUUGGGCGUAAAGCGUGUGUAGGCGGUUUAUUAAGUUUAAGAUUAAAGCCCGAGGCUUAACCUCGGUUCGUCUUAAAAACUGAUAGACUUGAGUAUGGUAGAGGCAAAUGGAAUUUCUAGUGUAGCGGUUAAAUGCGUAGAUAUUAGAAGGAACAUCAGUGGCGAAGGCGAUUUGCUGGGCCAUUACUGACGCUGAGACACGAAAGCGUGGGGAGCAAAUAGGAUUAGAUACCCUAGUAGUCCACGCCGUAAACGAUGAGUACUAAGUGUCGGGAAACCGGUGCUGAAGCUAACGCAUUAAGUACUCCGCCUGAGUAGUACGGUCGCAAGACUGAAACUCAAAGGAAUUGACGGGGGCCCGCACAAGC